This is a long non-coding RNA of Corvus hawaiiensis (hawaiian crow), 897 nucleotides long. RefSeq lists it as uncharacterized. The transcript has 4 exons. NCBI's taxonomy places the organism in Eukaryota, Metazoa, Chordata, Aves, Passeriformes, Corvidae. The record is from RefSeq and is a predicted model, not a curated record.
UGAAGCUGAGGGCUUAUGAGCUUCUCCCUGACAGCUCCUUCUCCAACUGUGCUGAAGAUGUGCACACACCAAAAUGCACAUGUGCUUACAGCCGAGGAGGGAGGGCUAACUACACUGCCAAAUACUCUUUUAGAUGGAAAGAAAGCUGCAAGCUUGAGAAUUGCAAGAAAACCAGACAUUAUCAGCAUCAAAUCAUCUGCAGAGCACUCUAACUAAAAGGAGAACAUUAUGGGUGACCACUGUCUUGUUGCUGAUGAAACUGCCCUCACAUUUCUGAUGUCAGGAAAAUGAAGUAACAGAGAAAAAGAGACACUGUACUGACAACUGAGACACACUACCCUGUUUCUUCUGUGCCUGAUGUCAGAUGCAAGCAGUGAAAAAUGAAAGGCAGCGGUAUGGACUGGGAAAAACAAUGUAUUUUGUGGAGUGACCACCCCAGGUAAAGUUGUGUAUCAUAUGUCAAAAAUCCAGGAGACCUCACAGAUCUUCGUGGAGGCAGCUUCGCUUCUUACACGCCCAAGGAACCUGUGCUGCUCCAAGCCAUGGCUGUAGCCUCUGCAUCACCAGCAGUGCUCAGAAGAAUCAGACUUUUAAAUUAAUACAAAUAUUUACAAUUAAAUAAAGUACUCUCUCAAAGAAACUCUUAAUUGCUGGGCUGACAUGGUACUUACUUCUCCUAUCACAUGCUUGCACACUGGUAGCUCUCUUACCACUGCCUGUGGUGUGUCCUGUUACUGCUCUGUGAUGGGAAACCAUGAGCUGUUGUAUCCUCACACUGCCAAAUGAGCUGCGCCUUUGGAGUAACCCCUCAGAAGAAGGAAGGCUGUGCCAGUCAGUAGCAUGAUGACACCACUGGAGGCGAAGUCUUUUUGCUCCAUUUAAAAAGACCCAGUGACA